This 441-nucleotide ribosomal RNA is filed under the name uncultured bacterium. Its description in RNAcentral is "bacterial SSU rRNA". It matches the Rfam family "Bacterial small subunit ribosomal RNA", at positions 338 to 795 of the family's 1533-position model. The record is from RNAcentral.
CCUACGGGACGCAGCAGUGGGGAAUAUUGGACAAUGGGCGAAGGCCUGAUCCAGCAAUGCCGCGUGUGUGAAGAAGGUCUUCGGAUUGUAAAGCACUUCCGACGGGGACGAUGAUGACGGUACCCGUAGAAGAAGCCCCCGGCUAACUUCGUGCCAGCAGCCGCGGUAAUACGAAGGGGGCUAGCGUUGCUCGGAAUGACUGGACGUAAAGGGCGCGUAGGCGGUUUAUGCAGUCAGAUGUGAAAUCCCCGGGCUUAACCUGGGAACUGCAUUUGAGACGCAUAGACUAGAGGACGAGAGAGGGUUGUGGAAUUCCCAGUGUAGAGGUGAAAUUCGUAGAUAUUGGGAAGAACACCGGUGGCGAAGGCGGCAACCUGGCUCGAUGCUGACGCUGAGGCGCGAAAGCGUGGGGAGCAAACAGGAUUAGAUACCCCUGUAGUC